AAAAAGCUAAGUUUGGGGUGGUAAUCUUGAAAGAAGGGCAAGUGCAUAAGAAGAGAACUAAAAGUAAUGCAAAAAAAAGAGACGUGUAUAUGUCCUCAAAGAAAAAAAAGAAGAGAAAUGCACUUGUCGAGACUUAAGACUCUAACACCUGUAAAAUGCUCACAGAGAAUUGAGUUACAAAGAGUCAAGAGUGAAUAAAUCCCCAGAGUUAUGAGUUAAGCACGGAAAAAAGAAGAGAAAAUCAAACAA
Molecule: long non-coding RNA, 249 nt
Filed under: Lathyrus oleraceus (garden pea)
Lineage: Eukaryota; Viridiplantae; Streptophyta; Magnoliopsida; Fabales; Fabaceae
Description: Pisum sativum (pea) long non-coding RNA (PSAT_LNC037657)
Source: RNAcentral